Molecule: ribosomal RNA, 158 nt
Filed under: Tribulus lanuginosus
Lineage: Eukaryota; Viridiplantae; Streptophyta; Magnoliopsida; Zygophyllales; Zygophyllaceae
Description: 5.8S ribosomal RNA
Rfam family: 5.8S ribosomal RNA (bases 111-158)
Source: RNAcentral
AUCAUAACAAACCCCGGCGCGGAAUGCGCCAAGGAAUCUUUAAAUGCGUCGGCACGGCUCUGUGACCUUAUCGCAGGGCGUCAGUGCCAGUGCACUAUUACUACACGAACGACUCUCGGCAACGGAUAUCUCGGCUCUCGCAUCGAUGAAGAACGUAG